CAACUCGCCUGCAUGAAGUCGGAAUUGCUAGUAAUCGUAGGUCAGCAUACUACGGUGAAUACGUUCCCGGGCCUUGUACACACCGCCCGUCACACCAUGGGAGUUGGGGAUACCCGAAGCCUGUGAGCUAACUAUUUAUAGGAGCAGCAGUCGAAGGUAGAAUCAAUGAUUGGGGUGAAGUCGUAACAAGGUAUC
Molecule: ribosomal RNA, 195 nt
Filed under: uncultured bacterium
Lineage: Bacteria
Description: partial 16S ribosomal RNA
Rfam family: Bacterial small subunit ribosomal RNA
Source: RNAcentral